RNAcentral lists this unclassified non-coding RNA (251 nucleotides) under Amanita sp. RNAcentral's name for it is "partial internal transcribed spacer region". The stretch from base 1 to 46 matches the Rfam family "Eukaryotic small subunit ribosomal RNA", at positions 1786 to 1831 of the family's 1831-position model. Lineage: Eukaryota; Fungi; Basidiomycota; Agaricomycetes; Agaricales; Amanitaceae. The record is from RNAcentral.
AAGUCGUAACAAGGUUUCCGUAGGUGAACCUGCGGAAGGAUCAUUAUUGAAUGGGAAACCUUGGCUGGAUGCUGUUUUGCUGGCCCUUUGGGCAAUGUGCACGCUCUAGUCAUUUGUUUCUUCUGUUCCACCUGUGCACUGCUGUAGACUUUAUGUGUCUAUGAUAUGUUGUUACAUUCACAUAAAUUUGUAUGUUGGGUUGGCAUAUAUAAUAAAAAUUACAACUUUCAACAAUGGAUCUCUUGGUUCUC